RNAcentral lists this ribosomal RNA (477 nucleotides) under uncultured bacterium. RNAcentral's name for it is "partial 16S ribosomal RNA". It matches the Rfam family "Bacterial small subunit ribosomal RNA", at positions 28 to 507 of the family's 1533-position model. The record is from RNAcentral.
GAUGAACGCUGGCGGCGUGCCUAAUACAUGCAAGUCGAGCGAACGGACGAGAAGCUUGCUUCUCUGAUGUUAGCGGCGGACGGGUGAGUAACACGUGGAUAACCUACCUAUAAGACUGGGAUAACUUCGGGAAACAGGAGCUAAUACCGGAUAAUAUUUUGAACCGCAUGGUUCAAAAGUGAAAGACGGUCUUGCUGUCACUUAUAGAUGGAUCCGCGCUGCAUUAGCUAGUUGGUAGGGUAACGGCAUACCAAGGCAACGAUGCAUAGCCGACCUGAGAGGGUGACCGGCCACAUUGGGACGGAGAGACGGCCCAGACUCCUACGGGAGGCAGGAGUGGGGGAUAUUGCACAAGGGGCGGAAGCCUGAUGCAGCAAAGCAGCGUGCGGGAUAACGGCCGUCGGGUUGUAAACCGCUUGCGCCUGUGACGAAGCGUGGGUGACGGGAAUGGGUAAAGAAGCACCGGCUAACUACGUG